CAGGCCUAACACAUGCAAGUCGAGCGCCGUAGCAAUACGGAGCGGCAGGCGGGAGAGUAACACGUGGGAACGUGCCCUUCAGUUCGGAACAACCCAGGGAAACUUGGGCUAAUACCGGAUACGUCCGAAAGGAGAAAGAUUUAUCGCUGAAGGAUCGGCCCGCGUCUGAUUAGCUAGUUGGUGAGGUAACGGCUCACCAAGGCGACGAUCAGUAGCUGGUCUGAGAGGAUGAUCAGCCUCACUGGGACUGAGACACGGCCCAGACUCCUACGGGAGGCAGCAGUGGGGAAUAUUGGACAAUGGGCGCAAGCCUGAUCCAGCCAUGCCGCGUGGGUGAUGAAGGCCCUAGGGUUGUAAAGUCCUUUCGGCGGGGAAGAUAAUGACGGUACCCGCAGAAGAAGCCCCGGCUAACUUCGUGCCAGCAGCCGCGGUAAUAC
This 437-nucleotide ribosomal RNA is filed under the name uncultured Alphaproteobacteria bacterium. RNAcentral's name for it is "bacterial SSU rRNA". It matches the Rfam family "Bacterial small subunit ribosomal RNA", at positions 43 to 526 of the family's 1533-position model. The record is from RNAcentral. Lineage: Bacteria; Pseudomonadati; Pseudomonadota; Alphaproteobacteria.